GGGGUUGUGGCUCAGUCGUAGAGCACUUGCUGUACACAUGAGGCACUGGGUUCAAUUCUCAGCACCACA
Molecule: transfer RNA, 69 nt
Filed under: Marmota monax (woodchuck)
Lineage: Eukaryota; Metazoa; Chordata; Mammalia; Rodentia; Sciuridae
Description: tRNA.Tyr
Source: RNAcentral